Molecule: ribosomal RNA, 606 nt
Filed under: uncultured Bacilli bacterium
Lineage: Bacteria; Bacillati; Bacillota; Bacilli
Description: bacterial SSU rRNA
Rfam family: Bacterial small subunit ribosomal RNA
Source: RNAcentral
UAACACAUGCAAGUCGAGCGAGCGGAACCAACAGAUUUACUUCGGUAAUGACGUUGGGAAAGCGAGCGGCGGAUGGGUGAGUAACACGUGGGGAACCUGCCCCUAAGUCUGGGAUACCAUUUGGAAACAGGUGCUAAUACCGGAUAAUAAAGCAGAUCGCAUGAUCAGCUUUUGAAAGGCGGCGUAAGCUGUCGCUAAGGGAUGGCCCCGCGGUGCAUUAGCUAGUUGGUAAGGUAACGGCUUACCAAGGCGACGAUGCAUAGCCGAGUUGAGAGACUGAUCGGCCACAUUGGGAACUGAGACACGGCCCAAACUCCUACGGGAGGCAGCAGUAGGGAAUCUUCCACAAUGGACGCAAGUCUGAUGGAGCAACGCCGCGUGAGUGAAGAAGGUUUUCGGAUCGUAAAGCUCUGUCGUCGGUGAAGAAGGAUAGAGGUAGUAACUGGCCUUUAUUUGACGGUAAUCAACCAGAAAGUCACGGCUAACUACGUGCCAGCAGCCGCGGUAAUACGUAGGUGGCAAAGCGUUGUCCGGAUUUAUUGGGCGUAAAGCGAGCGCAGGCGGAAAAAUAAGUCUAAUGUGAAAGCCCUCGGCUUAACCGAGGAA